GCCAUAUCACUUUGAAAUACCGGUUCUAGUACGAUCACCGAAGUUAAGUAACGUCGAGCCUGGUCAGUACCUAGAGGAGUGACCGCUUGGAAAUACCAGGUGCUGAA
RNAcentral lists this ribosomal RNA (107 nucleotides) under Acanthosepion pharaonis. The record is from RNAcentral. Lineage: Eukaryota; Metazoa; Mollusca; Cephalopoda; Sepiida; Sepiidae.